This 506-nucleotide ribosomal RNA is filed under the name uncultured bacterium. RNAcentral's name for it is "partial 16S ribosomal RNA". It matches the Rfam family "Bacterial small subunit ribosomal RNA", at positions 29 to 523 of the family's 1533-position model. The record is from RNAcentral.
AGUGAACGCUGGCGGUAGGCCUAACACAUGCAAGUCGAACGGCAGCACAGGAGAGCUUGCUCUCUGGGUGGCGAGUGACGGACGGGUGAGGAAUACAUCGGAAUCUACUCUGUCGUGGGGGAUAACGUAGGGAAACUUACGCUAAUACCGCAUACGACCUACGGGUGAAAGCAGGGGAUCUUCGGACCUUGCGCGAUUGAAUGAGCCGAUGUCGGAUUAGCUAGUUGGCGGGGUAAAGGCCCACCAAGGCGACGAUCCGUAGCUGGUCUGAGAGGAUGAUCAGCCACACUGGAACGGAGACACGGUCCAGACUCCUAGGGGAGGCAGCAGUGGGGAAUAUUGGACAAUGGGCGCAAGCCUGAUCCAGCCAUACCGCGUGGGUGAAGAAGGCCUUCGGGUUGUAAAGCCCUUUUGUUGGGAAAGAAAUCCAGCUGGCUAAUACCCGGUUGGGAUGACGGUACCCAAAGAAUAAGCACCGGCUAACUUCGUGCCAGCAGCCGCCGUAA